Molecule: ribosomal RNA, 550 nt
Filed under: Fusarium solani
Lineage: Eukaryota; Fungi; Ascomycota; Sordariomycetes; Hypocreales; Nectriaceae
Description: eukaryotic LSU rRNA
Rfam family: 5.8S ribosomal RNA (bases 192-345)
Source: RNAcentral
GUAACAAGGUCUCCGUUGGUGAACCAGCGGAGGGAUCAUUACCGAGUUAUACAACUCAUCAACCCUGUGAACAUACCUAAAACGUUGCUUCGGCGGGAACAGACGGCCCUGUAACAACGGGCCGCCCCCGCCAGAGGACCCCUAACUCUGUUUUUAUAAUGUUUUUCUGAGUAAACAAGCAAAUAAAUUAAAACUUUCAACAACGGAUCUCUUGGCUCUGGCAUCGAUGAAGAACGCAGCGAAAUGCGAUAAGUAAUGUGAAUUGCAGAAUUCAGUGAAUCAUCGAAUCUUUGAACGCACAUUGCGCCCGCCAGUAUUCUGGCGGGCAUGCCUGUUCGAGCGUCAUUACAACCCUCAGGCCCCCGGGCCUGGCGUUGGGGAUCGGCGGAAGCCCCCUGUGGGCACACGCCGUCCCUCAAAUACAGUGGCGGUCCCGCCGCAGCUUCCAUUGCGUAGUAGCUAACACCUCGCAACUGGAGAGCGGCGCGGCCAUGCCGUAAAACACCCAACUUCUGAAUGUUGACCUCGAAUCAGGUAGGAAUACCCGCUG